This is a non-coding RNA of Pelobates cultripes (western spadefoot toad), 5359 nucleotides long. NCBI's taxonomy places the organism in Eukaryota, Metazoa, Chordata, Amphibia, Anura, Pelobatidae. The record is from the annotation of a GenBank genome assembly.
ACUAGACUUAUGCACAGGAGAAAGAAUUUGCUUUUUGUGAACCAUUUCGUCCCCCCAAACGUUUUGCUCAGUUGAUCCGAAGUUUGCCCACGCAGUGCUUAAGUUUUCGUUUAUGCAACGAUUUUGGUAAGAACUAUUCAGGUGAAUGAAAAUGACUUGAAAAUACACCUAUCAGUGUACUGCAAAAUAUAUGCAUAAUAUUUACAUGUAUGUGCAUUCUGACGGACCUUGGGUUUAUUUAUUUCAUUUAUUUGAUUUAGUGACUGUUCCUUAACCAUCAGUUAUCUUUUUCUGGGCCGUCAUGGACGGAACUACGAAUUACAACAAUUCAGUCAAAUGGCAAUUCAGAGUUAGGUAAUCUGGACGUUUUACUGAUCACACAAAUCAUGAUUCGGUCAAAACUGAAUGCACCAGUCUGUCACCACUCCAAUGGGCAUUAAAGGGUAAGCUCUCCUAGACUAAACUCUUAGGUGAUACCUAAACUAAUUAUUCACCUUGAGGCCUUUAGUUAAAAUGCAUAAUCUCUUAUAAGACAGAUUUUUUUAAUUUUAUUUUUUUAAUUCUCCAGUUCAGCUUAUUUGACCUAAAACAUGUCCUUGAAUCCUACUUUUAUUAUACCUUUCAUUUAAAUAAAGAACAAUUCCAAAUGGUUUGAUUGAUUUACACAAUCAAAAAUGAGUAACAACAAACUAAAGUAGUAAACAAAAUGAAUUUAUGAACUACAUAUCAUGCAGUGAAGUAGAAAUAAAUAAAUUAAUUGGCAUAGUAUGGACUACUGAUAAGUAUGUUAUAAGAACAAAAGUGUCUAUCACGAUAUCAUCUUCCGUUUCGCUUCUCCCCUUUACUGAUGUCUGCAGAUGCAGCUGGUUUUUAACUGUGCAUGUCAUCUCAUUGGGUUAAAUAGGCAGAGUUUAACAAGUCAGUGGGGUCAGUGCACCACCAUUUUUAAACUUCACUAGCUGCCAAUGGUAUGACGGAUUGAGAUGGUUUGAAUGGUUUUGCAUUAAACUCUGAUUGAAGUAACACUUCACCAUAACCAGUACACAAAAACAAGCUGUAAUGGUUAUGGUACCAGGAGUGCCCUGGCGCCAACCAUUAUUGUGUAUUUAAACUGCUAUCGAGAGGCUUAACUUCAUACUUGGGUUCUUCCAGAUGUCGCUCCCUUCCUCCACUGAAGCUAGAAGCUUUCUGCCGGAGCUAAACCCAGCUAUGCAGGACUUAGUUAAUUUGCAGAGAGCGAUCAGCUUAGUUCAGGAGAGUUAAGGGAAGCUCCCUAGCAUGAGUUACAAACUCUCCUGGUAGCUGAAAGGUCACCUACCAGCAGACAAAAAAUAAAUAUAAAAAAACAGUUCUAAAAUGGUUUUACUACAUUAAAUGGGCACUAGUGGCACCUUGACCAAUAUAUCGCUCUGUAGUAGUUAUCCAGUUUCCAGUGUUCCUUUAAUUCAUCUACCAUGAACUUGUCAACCUUUUUAUGUACACAUGUUGGACAAUAGUGACACCUAGUGGAUUAAGAAGAUAGCUACUAACCAGAGAACUUUAAACUUUUGAAACUCAUCUGUUGCAAGGGAUAUAUUUAAAAUGAGAUACAGAGUUACUACUGAAUAAUAAUGUGGUAAAUUUAAAAAAAUGAAGAGAGAACAUCAACAUUGAUUCUCGAAUCUGUCAUGUAUAAUGAAUGUGGAUGCAAAAAGACAGGGAACACAUAUAUAUAUAUAUAUAUAUCAUUUUUUAAGGCCCUUGCCUCAUCAUCCCAGUUUUUUACCACAAGUCCUGCUUCUGAGAUCCACAAGAAGCCUAGAACAGAAGGAAGGAACACGUUGUGAAAUAUGUGAGAACAUGUAUUUGCUUCAAUACUUCCAUUGCUUAGCUUCAAGGGCAGCUUAGCCCACAGGAGGGAUUGCAGGACACAUUUUCGUCUCUCCAAAAUCAGAUUGAAAAUUGGAUUACCACAGAGGACAGGAUUCUAUUCAUUUACCAGGCCUAUCUGGAAUAGCGUAGGCAAAAUUAGAUUUUGGCACUUUUCUUAUUGGACUACUUGAAACAGGUUUUAGUGUUUUUUUAAAUACUAAAUUUGGUAUGAUCUUUGUGCAUUCUAAAAUUUAGACUUGUGCAUGGCAAAAAAAAUUUUAUUUGUCCGAAAUGAUUUGCACAAUUUUUUUUCUAAUUUCAAAUUUCGCACAGGAAUGUUUCAGUUCGCCCAAAUAUCUACACCCAUGAGAAAUGAUUCAGAUGAAUCGGAAAUUUUUUUUUCAGAUGCAUUAGAAAAAAGUUUGACUCCCAUGUUAGUAAAAGGGAGGUAUAAUGAACUUUCUGAUAGUCUCAUCUCUCAAGACUUUACUGAGACUCACUGCAAGUUUUAGAAACAUAGAAUGUGACGGCAGAUAAGAACCAUUCGACCCAUCGAGCCUGCCCAAUUUUCUAAAUACUUUCAUUAGUCCCUGGCCUUAUCUUAUAGUUAGGAUAGCCUUAUGCCUAUAAACUCACUCACCAUAUUAACCUCUACCACUUCAGCUGGAAGGCUAUUUCAUGCAACCACUACCCUCUAUGUAAAGUAAUAUUUCCUGAUAUUUUUAAACCUUUACUGUGUCGAUUCCCUUUAUGAAUUUAAAUGUUUUUAUCAUAUUCCCCUCCGUCUCGUCUUUCCUCCAAGCUAUACAUGUUAAGAUCCUUUAACCUUUCCUUGUUAGUUUUAUCCUGCAAUCCAUGAACCAGUAUAGAAAUACACCUCAUCUAACCACUGGACAACCUCCAGCAUGACUUUUGUUAGGUCGAGUACUCAGGACAAAGUUGGAUCCAUUAAAGCCUGAGAUUCAGCAUAGGGUCAUCAAACAACAAUCGAAGUUGCAAGGCACAAAAGCAGGCCGUUGUUAUCAGAUAGAGGAUUCUGUUUGGAUGCGUGCAUAUCAUCAGGAGAAUCGUUGGCAAGCAGCGGUGAUAACAGAAGUUCUGGGGUCAGCACACUAUAAAGGUUUAGCCCCAAAUGGAUAUUGAAACCGGACAAUGAUAUCUGGCACGGAGUGUGACAUGAUGACGAUUCUGAAGUCUGCAAUAUACCUGCUCCUGAGCUCAAGAUAGAGAUCAUUUUCAUAUCAUAGGGAUGAUUUGGAAGCAAUAUUCCACAAUACUCAGGAAAAAUAAGUUCCAAGUCACAGUACAAGUAACUAUGAAGGCCGUGGUCAAGAAAAUACUGGCCAUUUCACAAGAGAGAGAUGGGCCCCAAACCGAUGACAACUGCAAGAUCCAUUAAAAGACUAUAUUCAGAAAAACUCCACAGUGAGAAAGCGUAAAUGGUAUCCUAGCACAAGUAGAAUAAGUUAUCCUGAAACAAAGAUUGUGGAUCUGAAAGAUGAUGGACAAAAGAAGGAGCAUACAUGCAAUAAAGAUGCUAUCUUGAUCUAUUGCUGCAUAUUACAUAGGUUCCAGGUCUUUUAAUCCCUUGUUGGAACAUGGUCAGUGUUAAGAUUUUCCUAUUGUAUGGUGGAUUAUUCACUAAAGUGAGAAUUCAAGGUGAAUUUCAAAUUAUAGGUAUUAGCAGCCAAACUGGAAACAUUGUCCAAGCCAGCUAUGCUUUCAGCUUCAGCCUCAGCCUUAAAGGAAUACUAUAGAAUCAUGAACACAUAUGUAUUCCUGAUCCUAUAGUGUUAAAAACACACUCUAGCCCCCCUAAAUAUAGUAAUAUCUUACCUUUAUUCAAGCCUACUGUUGCUGGCUCUUCCCCUAACCUGCCUCCUUGGCUGACAUCAGAAGUGUUGAUCUGAGCCAAUCACAAUGCUUUCCCAUUGGAUUGGCUGAGAUUGCAAAGGGGGUGGGGCAGAGAAGUAGCCAAAUGCCACCCUGUCCAAUCAGCAUCUCCUCAUAGAGAUGAAUUGAAUCAACGCAUCUCUAUGAGUAAAGUUCAGUCUCUCAAUGCAGAGGAUGGAGACGCUGAAUGGCACAUUGUGCAACACUGCCCCAUCUGAUGAGUGGCCACUGGAGGAGUCCCUAGGCUGUAAUGUAAACAAUGAUUUUUCUCUGAAAAAACAGUGCUUACAGCAAAAAGCAUGCAGAGACAGACUAUACUCAGUACUAGUUGUUCUGGUAUCUAGUGUCCCUUUAAAUUUAAAAUUCCCUUUUAUAUCUCACUUUAGUGAAUAACUCUGCAUUAGUGUUUUAGCUAACCUACACACAAGGUUUGUUCUUCCCAGCACCAAAAAAAAUUACAUUAAACAAAGUUUAUUAAUAUUAAUUGGGAACAUGGAAAACAUGCUGAAUCAUUUCCGAAAAUUGACCCUGUCUAGAAUUUUUGGGAACUCUAGAAAAGCAAGGCUGGAGAGUCAAAGUAUAUCCACCCCAUCACAUUUCUGUAUGGUAGUUAAUUUUGCUCAGAACAUCCAAUAUUCAAUUCUGGAUUCAGAGGACAAGUGUUAUUUUAGUUACUCUUUAAUAACAGUUCAUGGUAUAGCAAACUUCCUGCUCUCCCUGUUACUAAUGAAGGUUUAUUGCUCAACAGUUUAAAAUGCUCUCUACUAGUUUUGAUACCCUGCCACAUGCACAUCCAAAUGCUUCUCAUAGGAAAGUAUUACAUUCACUGCUUUCGUAUGAGCUGUAACCUCAUGUGACCGAGUAUUACGUUGUUGUUGUUGUUGUUGUUGUUGUUGUUGUUGAAAACGCACCUCAAGGGACUGUCUGGAAUGGAGCUACUAUUAAGUGUGUUUAAGCCUUCGAAGUAAAAAUUGCACUUUCUAUAAAACUACACUGUUUUACAUUGCAGGGUUAAAUGAACAACUGCAUCCAAACCACUUCACUGAUAUGAAUCCUUUAAGACUGGACUUGUCAUUUACCCAGGUCAGAAGUAGGUUUCAACAAUUACACCUAUUUACAUAAACCUAAUAAGGUGGGUGGGUACACUUGGAGAUAGUUUCAUUCUUCAUCAUGGAAGGGGACAUGUACUGUUAAGGCUUACACCACAUUGGACACAAAACAUUGUUUUUCAUCAUGUCUUGUUUCUUAGUUUCUCAAGCAUGCAAAUGAAUCAGUAGGAUGUUGGACCCUGCCUUGAUGAAUUUCAAAUACUAAUUAAUACUACCUUCAAACAUGCAUUAGUAAAUCAUUUAAUCAUGGAUACUCCUUUAUUAUAUGUUAAAUAUCUUUGUGGCUACUUCAUUGUAUUAUUAUUCAUAGUUACUAUGUACCUUUCAUUGUCCACUGGAAGUUUCCUGCCUGAGCAUUUUUUGUUUUCUUUUUUGAAAACACCUUUUUUCUAUUUCCAUUGUAGAUCCUGACUUCCAAGAAAUGUUCUCUCUCCUUUGAAGGUUGUAAGUAAUAUGAUGUAUGUUGAGAAUAACAUAUAUGCUUGGGCCAAGAUCACUGUAAGAAC